UGGUGGAGUGAUUUGUCUGGUUAAUUCCGUUAACGAACGAGACCCCUGCCUGCUAAAUAGUUCAUCCAGUGAACUUCACUGAUUGGGACUUCUUAGAGGGACGUGCAUUCGACUAGUUGCAGGAAGAUAGGGGCAAUAACA
RNAcentral lists this ribosomal RNA (141 nucleotides) under uncultured eukaryote. RNAcentral's name for it is "partial 18S ribosomal RNA". It matches the Rfam family "Eukaryotic small subunit ribosomal RNA", at positions 1299 to 1458 of the family's 1831-position model. The record is from RNAcentral.